This 511-nucleotide ribosomal RNA is filed under the name uncultured bacterium. Its description in RNAcentral is "bacterial SSU rRNA". It matches the Rfam family "Bacterial small subunit ribosomal RNA", at positions 9 to 513 of the family's 1533-position model. The record is from RNAcentral.
GAGUUUGAUCGUGGCUCAGAUUGAACGCUGGCGGCAGGCCUAACACAUGCAAGUCGAGCGGUAGAGAGAAGCGUUGCUUCUCUUGAGAGCGGCGGACGGGUGAGUAAUGCCUAGGAAUCUGCCUGGUAGUGGGGGAUAACGCUCGGAAACGGACGCUAAUACCGCAUACGUCCUACGGGAGAAAGCAGGGGACCUUCGGGCCUUGCGCUAUCAGAUGAGCCUAGGUCGGAUUAGCUAGUUGGUGAGGUAAUGGCUCACCAAGGCGACGAUCCGUAACUGGUCUGAGAGGAUGAUCAGUCACACUGGAACUGAGACACGGUCCAGACUCCUACGGGAGGCAGCAGUGGGGAAUAUUGGACAAUGGGCGAAAGCCUGAUCCAGCCAUGCCGCGUGUGUGAAGAAGGUCUUCGGAUUGUAAAGCACUUUAAGUUGGGAGGAAGGGCAGUAAAUUAAUACUUUGCUGUUUUGACGUUUACCGACAGAAUAAGCACCGGCUAACUCUGUGCCAGCA